RNAcentral lists this long non-coding RNA (6399 nucleotides) under Homo sapiens (human). Its description in RNAcentral is "non-protein coding LINC00941:12". The record is from RNAcentral. Lineage: Eukaryota; Metazoa; Chordata; Mammalia; Primates; Hominidae.
ACCCUGUUCCCAGACCCGGGUGGUGGUCUGGGGGGUUGGAAGGGGCGGGAAGGGCGCUGUCUUAAGAAUCAUCCUCACAUCUCAGGGCUUCGCCCCUCGAGGGAGGUGACCCUUGGCCACCCUCUGCGCAGUUCUCCCUGAAAGGUCAUGCCACGUCUUAGCACUCUGGUCCCUGCGCCCCUGCAGGCCUCGCGGAUCCCCCACUUGUCUCGACGCAGGGGACGCCCACUUGUCUGACGCAGGGGACGUGGCUGAAGUCAGUCGGGCCGCCCGCUUGCUGCACGGCAGCCGUGGGACUGGCACAGGCUCCUCGGCAGCAUUAUGGGCAGCUGGUAGAGCGGCCACUUCUGAGAGCCGGAUGGGCCUUCCGAGGUCGGGCCGUGCCCCGCUGGGCAGCGCAGAGGGGGUGUGUAGGGCACGCGACUUGGAGCCAGGUCCAGACCCAUCCUGGCUCCUCUCAGGGCUCCUUCCCCUGCCCCCAUUCCACCCCAGCCCUGCUGGCUGUCCCGCAGGACCCAGCGCCGCGGUAGCCUUCUCUGAACUGCGGCUCAGGCGGAGGUGUCACUCCUGCCUCCAGCCCAGGAGGGCAGGUCAGGUUAUGCAACGCGUGCCGCGCGAUCUCCCCCCACCUCCAACCCCCUUUUCUCCCGGGUCCACACCGCAGUUCCCACCGCUCCGGGUGUCCUCCCCAGUGCGCCGCGAUUUUUGUGUCCAAGCCCCAGAGUCCCUCUGAGACCAACCCCCAGCCAGCACAGACUUCCUGCCUUCCCAGCUCGGGUAGAGACAGCUCCGGGCCGGGGGUGGAGGAUGGUGCGGUGGGGAGGAGGCAAGGAAAUUCCCAGCCUUCCUGCGCGAACCUGGGAGACCAGCAGGCACCUGGUCUCGUCCCGCUGGGUCCCCUCCGCACCCAAGACUGUCUUCCCAAGUGGCUUACUCCACAGAAGGAAUGUCGUCAGCUGAUUAUAUCUGAUUAGCAUCCAGUUCCGACGACUCAUCCCUUAAAACGGAUGUGGUCUCAUUAGGUUGCCCAAGCUGGACUUGUACUCUUGGCCUCAAGAGGUCCUUCCAUCUCAGUCUCCCAAGUAGCUGGGACUACAAGCAUGCACCACUACACUCAGCCAAAUACUUUCAAUAAUUUGCCAGCUGACAACUUGAUUGGGUUCUCCUUCAGGUUUGAAGCGCCCUCGAGAAGUGUCUAAAGGAGACAGUUGAUAGCCAAACAACAGUUUUGGAUUCACUGACUGAUUAUGAAAGAAGCAGUAGACUGGUAUCAAGAAUCAGUCAGCAAGGAGGCCCUCACCAGACGCCAGUGCCAUGUUCUUGGACUUCUCAGCCUCCAUAUUCAUGAACUAAGUUUUUGGAAUCCUUAGGCUUCCACGUGUGGAAAGCCUGAGCUAACCUACUGGAGGAUGAGCCAUCACCUGGAGCAGAUUCAGGCCAUCCUAGUUGAAGCCUCCCUAGGCCAAGCAACCGUCCAACUACCAGACAUUGACCAUUCAGCCUUGAACAUUCAGCACAAAGACAAAACAGACCAGACCAGAAGAGUCCCACAGAAUAGGGGAAACUAUUCAGAGAAAACUUAAGCCACUAAGUUUUAUGGUGUUUUGUUCUGUAGCAGAAGCAUAGGCAUACUGACAAUACAAACCGAAAUCCUUCUAACGUAGUGGACCUUUUCAGGCCAGCAUUUUUUCCUUGAAAACCUGGAGCAUGUAUCCAUCUUAUAGCAGAGAUCACUUUCACAAUGUUUGGGCUCUUGAUUUGAAUUGAUGAUGUAAUGAGCCCUCUAUCCAGAUUGUAACUAAUUACUCUGCGAAUUGACUGGAUUCCACACCCUUCUAAUAUUUUACUUUUCCUCUUUUAUCAACUCUCAUUCUUGCUGCCAUGAUCAAUGGACCAACUAUGCUUAUAACCACAAAUUUUGAUAUGCUUAAACAAAUGAACAAAUAUAUUUAAUAAUUUCUUUUUUUUUUUUGAAAUAGUAUCUUGCUCUGUCACCCAGGCUGCAGUGCAGCAGCGUGAUCUCAGCUCACUAUAACCUCCACCUCCCGGGUUCAAGUGAUUCUCCUGCCUCAGCCUCCCAAGUAGCUGGGACUACAGGCGCCCACCACCAUACCUGGCUAAUUUUUUGUAUUUUUAGUAGAGACAGGGUUUAUCCAUGUUGGCCAGGCUGGUCUCAAACUCCUGACCUCAAGUGAUCCUCCUGCCUCGGCCUCCCAAAGUGCUGGGAUUACAGGUGUGAGCCACCAUGCCCAGCCAAUAAUUUCCUGAUAUAAUAAAAAUGCCAAUACUAUACAAUUAAAUAGUAAAGUGAUAAAAAAUAGGAUAACAUGAUAACCACUAAUUAAUAUAUACUACAUAAUCAUCCUUUUCGUGAGUUGAAAUGUUCUUUUAGCACACUUUAUGGUUUAUCCUUUCUGGAAUACUAUUAUAUGAUCAUGAUUUUUCUCACACUUGUUCCAGUGAAAUAUACUUUUAGGUGUUUCCUUUGUAUUGUUCAAACUGUAAUAUCUCCAGUGGAAGAUUUUUUAAGCUUGUUCUUGUCUUGUCAGUGUCACCCACAUAGUCAUAGUCUGAAAGCAUUUUGCUUUCUGGAAAUAAGAUAUUAUAGGCACCAAGUUAUGGAAUUAUCUACUUUUCACCAAGCCUUCAUUCUUUCAGUGCUGUAUUAGAGACCUCAUUUAGGGUUCUAAGGGUGCAUAUCAAAUUGUUCCAUGAGUCUAAAAUGGAUAAUUCUUCUGUGGGCCAUUUUUAGUGCUAGAGCUAGAAAAGUUAUACUUUUAAAAGGUAAAUAGCUCACAAUGAUUUUGCAAUAUAAUUCCCACUUUACCCAAUUAUUAACUGCUGUUUGAAUAUAAAAAUAUUUUUAAACUUUUUUAUUUACAACAUAUCUAUUUAAAUUCAAUACAGCAUUCCCAAAUAAAUAUAGCAGAAGUGGGAGUUUCAAGUUACUAAACAUGUCAGUCACAAUUUAUGGAGCCGAUUGAAAGAUGGAGAAAUAUUACUGUAUUAGUUUCUUCUCACAUUGCUAUAAAGAAAUAUCUAAGACUGGGUAAUUUAAGAAGGAAAGAGGUUUAAUUGGAUCAUGGUUCCACAGGCCAUACAGAAAGCAUGAUGCUGGCAUUUUCUCAGCUUCUGGGGAGGCCUCAGGAAAUUUACAAUCAUGGAUGGGAAGGGGAGCAAGCACUUCACAUGGCCAGAGCAGAAGGAAGAGAGAGAGGCGGAGGUGCCUCACACUUUAAAACAACCAGAUCUCAUGAGAACUCUAUCUCUAUCAUGAGAACAGCACCAAAAGGGGAAAUCUGCCCCCAUGAUCCAAUCAUCUCCCACCAGGCCCCACCUCCAACACUGGGGAUUGUAAUUGAACAUGAGAUUUGGGUGGGGACACAGAUACAAACCAUAUCAUUCCACUCCUGGCCCCACUCAAAUCUCAAGUCCUUCUCACAUUGAGAAAUACAAUCAUGCCUUCCCAACAGUUGCUCAAAGUGUUAACUCAUUCCAACAUUAACUCAAAAGUCCAAAGUCUCAUCUAAGACAAGACUAGUCUCUUCCAUCCAUAAGUCUGUAAAAUCAAAAAAAAGUAAGUUACUUCCAAGAUACAAUGGGGAUAUAGGCAUUUGGUAAAUAUUCCAACUCCAAAAGGGAGAAAUCAACUAAAAGAAAGGGGCUACAGGCCCCAUAAAAGUCUGAAAUCCAGCAGGGCAGUCAUUAAAUCUUAAAGCUUCAAAAUAAUCUUUGACAUUAUGUCCCACAUCCAGGGCACACUUGUGCAAGGGGUGGGCUCCCAAAUCCUUGGGCAACUCUGCCCCUGUGGCUUUCCAGGGGUCAGCCCCCAUGGCUGCUCUUAAGGGCUGGCAUUGAGUGCUUGCAAUUUUUCCAGGCACAUGGUGGCAAGCUGUCAGUGGCUCUGCCAUUCCAGGGUCUGGAAGAUGGUGGCCUUCUUCUCAACUGCCUAUCUAUUAGGCAGUUCCCCAGUGGGUACUCUAUGUGGGGGCUCCAACCCCACAUUUCCCCUCUGCAUUGCCCUAGUAGAGGUUCUCCAUGAGGGCUCCACCCCUGCAGCAGGCUUUUACCUGGACAUCCAAGUGUUUCCAUACAUCCUCUGAAAUCUAGAUGGAGGCUCCCAAGCCUCAAUUCUUGUACUCUGUGCACCUUCAGGCUUAACACCACAUGGAAGCUGCCAAAGCUUAUGGCUCACACCCUCUGAAGCAGUAGCCGGAGCUGUACCUGGGCCCCUUUUAGCCAUGGCAUUCUCAAAGAAUGUUGAGAGAGAUGGCUGGAGGUGGAGUGGCUGGGAUGCAGGGAGCAGUGUUCUAAGGCUACAUAAGGCAGCAGGGCCCUGGGCCCAGCCAAGGAAACUAUUCUUCCCUCCUAGGACUCUGGACCCGUGAUGGGAGAGGCUGCUGCAAAGGUCUCUGAAAUGCCUUGGAACCCUUUUCUCCAUCGUCUUGUCUAUCAAUAUUUGCCUUCCUUUUAGUUAUGCAAAUUUAUGCAGCCUUCUUGAAUUCCUCCCCAGAAAAUAGGCUUCUCUUUUCUACCACAUGGCUGGGCUGCAAAUUUUCCAAACUUGUACUCUCUGCUUCCCUUUUAAAUAUAAGUUCCAGUUUCAGAUCUUUUCUUUGCUCACACAUAUGAGUAUAUGUUGUUAGAAGAAGCAGCCAGACCACAUCUUGAACAUUUCGCUGCUUAGAAAUUCCUUCUACCAGAUACCCUAAAUCAUCUCUCUCAAAUUUAAAGUUCCACAGAUCCCUAGAGCAAGGGCACAAUGCAGUCAGUUUCUUUACUAAAUCAUAGCAAAAAUGACCUGUGCUCCAGUUCCCAAUAAGAUCCUCAUCUCCAUCUGAUACCUCCUCAGCCUGGACUUCAUUAUCAGCAUUUUGGUCACAAUAAUUUGACAAGUCUCUAGGAAGUUCUAAACUUUCCCUCAUCUUCCUGUCUUUUUCUGAGCCUCCACAUUCUUCCAACUUCUGCCAGUUACCCAAUUCCAAAGAUGCUUCCACAUUUUCAGGUAUCAUUAUAGCAACGCCCCACUCGUCAGUACCAAUUUUCUGUAUUAGUCUGUUCUCACAUUGCUACAAAUACCUGAGACUAGGUAAAUUUAUAAAGAAAAGAGGUUCUGCAGGUUGUAUAGGAAGCAUAAUGGCUUCUGCUUCUAGGAAGGCCUCAGGAAACUUACAGUCAUGGUGGAAGGCAAAGGAGAAGCAAGGAUUUCACAUGGCUGGAGCAAUUACCCAAAGGGAGAAUGCCACCAAAUUCUACAAGUGAUUAGCUUUUAUUUCUAGGAGGCAAAAAACAGGUGGCUUAUGCCUGUAAUCUCAGCACUUUGGGAGGCCAAGGUGGGCAGAUCAAAAGGUUAGGAGAUUGAGAUUUAUGGAGCUUUUUUUGCCUAAACCACUUACCUUCUUAGCAUAGGGACUUUUAAAAAUUCUGAUUAUCAGAAUAUGGCUGAGAGAUGUCAGAACCAUUUUUCUCAAAUAUGAAUUCUUAGCAGGAAUAGAAAUUGCAAUUUUUUAAUUUUUAAUUUUAAGAGGAAUUAGUGCCAGAGAGAACUAUUAAGAAAGGGGUAUAUCCAGUCUAAGGAUUAUUAGGCUCAAGUCCAUGAAUAGGCUCUGGGAAGUUUGUAAACACUUGGAAAUUAUUUGCAAAAUGUGUGUGUGAAUGUGCUUUACCUUAGAGAGUUCAUGAAUUUCAUUAGAUUGUUGAAAGAGUUUUAGUAUUAACAAAGGAAAAACAAACCACCACCAUCACAUAACAAAACCACAACAGUGAUUUAAUCUUUUCACCUAACAAUAAGUAAAUUGAGGCUCUGAUGGCUAAAUUAAUAGCCUGAGGCUACACAGUCAGUGGCAGAGCCCAGGGUAAAGAGAGAACCAGCACAGCCAUUGUGGGAGCCGAGGGUAAAGAGAGAGCUAGGUGUUGUACUUAGUAAAUAAAUCAGAAAUUCCUAACUCUUAGGCUGGAGUUCUUCCUGUUAUGUGAAGCCAAAGUAGGGAAUCAUUAGGUCCAAGAAUAGGAAUUACAUUUAUAUUUUAAUGAAAAGGUGCAGUAAAAUUUAAAGGAAGAGAGAGGGUUGCAGAUGACAGAAUACAAAGAAUGUUGAGAGAGAUGAAGCAAGAUGAGUCCAUAGAAUCAGAGGCUUAGAAGUAAUUCCUAUUUAUGAAAGGGAGUGAGAACAAUGUGGUGAGGUGUAUAGAGCUAUGUGAAAGUGCUUGUCAAUAACAUGGCUGCAGAAUGCUGAUGGUGGUAAUUGAAAAGGAAGUAAAAUAUAAAAACAUUUGCAGAAUAUUUCUUUUUUUUUUUCUCUUUUUCUUUUCUUUCUUUUUUUUUUUUUUUUGAGGCAGAGUCUCGCUCUGUCGCCCAGGCUGGAGUGCAAUGGCGCUAUCGUGGCUCAUUGCAAGCUCC